Molecule: transfer RNA, 93 nt
Filed under: Trueperaceae bacterium
Lineage: Bacteria; Thermotogati; Deinococcota; Deinococci; Trueperales; Trueperaceae
Also listed under: 1 other name
Description: tRNA-Ser
Rfam family: tRNA
About the family: Transfer RNA (tRNA) molecules are approximately 80 nucleotides in length. Their secondary structure includes four short double-helical elements and three loops (D, anti-codon, and T loops). Further hydrogen bonds mediate the characteristic L-shaped molecular structure. tRNAs have two regions of fundamental functional importance: the anti-codon, which is responsible for specific mRNA codon recognition, and the 3' end, to which the tRNAs corresponding amino acid is attached (by aminoacyl-tRNA synthetases). tRNAs cope with the degeneracy of the genetic code in two manners: having more than one tRNA (with a specific anti-codon) for a particular amino acid; and 'wobble' base-pairing, i.e. permitting non-standard base-pairing at the 3rd anti-codon position.
Source: RNAcentral
GGAGAGGUGGCCGAGCGGCUGAAGGCGCUCCCCUGCUAAGGGAGUAUAGGGUUUAAACCCCUAUCGAGGGUUCGAAUCCCUCCCUCUCCGCCA